Molecule: ribosomal RNA, 253 nt
Filed under: uncultured bacterium
Lineage: Bacteria
Description: partial 16S ribosomal RNA
Rfam family: Bacterial small subunit ribosomal RNA
Source: RNAcentral
UACGUAGGGUGCAAGCGUUACUCGGAAUUACUGGGCGUAAAGCGUGCGCAGGCGGCUUUGCAAGUCAGAUGUGAAAUCCCCGGGCUCAACCUGGGAACUGCAUUUGUGACUGCAAGGCUGGAGUACGAGAGAGGGGGAUGGAAUUCCGCGUGUAGCAGUGGAAUGCGUAGAUAUGCGGAGGAACACCGAUGGCGAAGGCAAUCCCCUGGGCCUGUACUGACGCUCAUGCACGAAAGCGUGGGGAGCAAACAGG